This 384-nucleotide unclassified non-coding RNA is filed under the name Hevea brasiliensis (rubber tree). The record is from RNAcentral. Lineage: Eukaryota; Viridiplantae; Streptophyta; Magnoliopsida; Malpighiales; Euphorbiaceae.
UAAAGUGCAACAGUUACAUCACCGAACAAAAAUAUGAUCGUCGAGAAUAAGACCAUAUAGUAGCUACAGAUAUCUGGAACAAGUAUUUAUUCAAGAAUGAUGAAAAAAGCAGCAGAUGAGAGAGCACUGACAAAGCAAAUUCCACGUCAUAUAAGCUUCUCAAAAAGUUUCACUGCAACACAUUUAUCAACGCAUGACCAGUAAUCAAAAUAUUGACCGGUACAAUGUUUGUGUCCAGUUUCGUCUUUUUGUACUCUCUUAACACAUUCCCGAUAUUCAUAUAAAGCUUUUACGCACUUCGGCUGGCAACGGUCCUCGAGAUAUUUCUUUGGGUCCACAACUUCAUCGUCUGCCAUUUGAGAUCGCGCUCGAGAUGAUUCAGCG